CUGAAUUCUGCCACUAGAGGUCAGUGUCGCCAUUCACAUGGUGUUUCCAAGCCGGGUGAAGAUGGUCGUGGUUAUGUCGAAUGUGUAGGCUUUGAAUGCAUCACGGCCUCUGCGCUUGUUCAAAGUGCCCGGCCGCACUGCGCCGUCCUUGGGCCUCCUCCUUCCUGCAGCUCACUGCGUUGCAGAGGGAUGCGGCGAUCCUCCUGUGGCCCUGAACAACAGCCAGGUCGUCUCUGAACCGCUGCCUGAAAAAUACAUUUCCCACAGGAUUUGGAGAGAUACAAAGCUGAUUAAACAACAAAAGCAUAUGGGAAGAUAAAGAACACUUAGUCUUGAUCCAGAUGGGAGAAAGGGAACAAGAAAGGGAGUAAAAACUACAAAAAAAGAGUGAGAAGAAGAAGAAGAAGAGGCUUUUGGUGACAAUCUUGUGAUAGCAUCUGCAGAGUCUGGGAAACCAGCAGUAGGGAAGUGCAGCAAGAAGCAGUAAUGUCUUACUGUUGCCAUUGGACUGCUGCUUGUAAUGCAAUUCUGUGUUGUGGCUUUAAUUCUGCUGUUCUCACAGUUAAUGAAAUAAAUAGUGCAAAAAAUAUAUAUACGAUAAAUACUACUUGUAUGAAGUUUACAAUGUUUGCGUUUUGUAAUGAGUGUGGGAAUGAUGUUGAUUGAUUAAAUCUGAUAUUUGGUGUUUCUCUAAUGGAUCACACAAUAUUGUCAGGUGUUCCUGUUAUAUUGUAUAAAAAUAAUUUUACUGUGGCAAUUGUAGCAGAGUAAAUUUUAUAUUUUGAAAUCACUGGAGUUCAUUAAGACAGAAGAGAUGUGGGAGAAAGUUGCUUGUUCAUUUCCACUGAAAAAGUGUCCCUUGCAUUUUUGCAAGAUGCAUAUGCAAAAUGUUGAAGAACAUUUUGACUGACAUGG
This is a long non-coding RNA of Siniperca chuatsi (mandarin fish), 915 nucleotides long. RefSeq lists it as uncharacterized. The transcript is spliced from 4 exons. The record is from RefSeq and is a predicted model, not a curated record. Lineage: Eukaryota; Metazoa; Chordata; Actinopteri; Centrarchiformes; Sinipercidae.